AGUGUAGGUUUAGGCUUUAUCUUAUUGAGCUUGACUCGACCUGCAUACAUUAGGCUCAAUUAAUAAAUAAUUAAAUCAAACUCGAAUUAAUUUAUUAAAAUGCAAUGAUGAGGGUAACACAUCUUUUAGUUGAAUUUACAAAAUAUGUGAAUUAAAAUAAUGAUAAGUGCUAUGAAUAAGAUAUUAAUUUAUGCAUUAUUUAACACUUAUCACACCCCCCAACCUACAUUUUGCUAGUCCUCAAGCAAAAUAAAAACUAACUCACUUUCGCAGGAAUCGCGAUUGCAUUUACCGUAUGCAAUAAGGCUUUAAACCCCUAGGUGGCCCUAGUGGACGAGUUUUGUCUCGUGAGGGUUUCUGGCUCAGAUACCCACAAACUGCUGUCUCUAC
RNAcentral lists this long non-coding RNA (390 nucleotides) under Phoenix dactylifera (date palm). RNAcentral's name for it is "long non-coding RNA (PDAC_LNC011132)". Lineage: Eukaryota; Viridiplantae; Streptophyta; Magnoliopsida; Arecales; Arecaceae. The record is from RNAcentral.